Neogale vison (American mink) is the source of this 512-nucleotide long non-coding RNA. RefSeq lists it as uncharacterized. The transcript has 3 exons. Lineage: Eukaryota; Metazoa; Chordata; Mammalia; Carnivora; Mustelidae. The record is from RefSeq and is a predicted model, not a curated record.
GUUGUUUGUUUCUGUGUUGGGAUUCGGUGCACAAUCCAUUAACAUCUGGUCUCUACAUUUGCCAUCAUUACAGCAAACUAACUGUAGCCUUUUUCUCUUUACCUGUAGAAACCUCUGCACCAUGAGAGCCAAGUGGAGGAAGAAGCGAAUGCGCAGGCUGAAGCGUAAAAGAAGAAAGAUGAGGCAGAGGUCCAAGUAAACCGCUAGCUUGUGCACCGGUGGAGCCACAGGAGCAGAAAUAAGGAAAGCCAGAGGCCAGGGACGCUGGUACCAAUUGUUGGGCUGUAUGCCUACUCCCUAGAGCUUGAGUCAAUGGAUCUAGACCAUCCAUCGCCGUCUGAUCGCAGCUACCACCUUUGAGAGACCCGCCUUGUUCAUACCAAAACCGACUCUUUUGGCCCUUUGCCCUGGACCUGUGACUUUUCGGGACUAACUCUUUUCAUUUGUGGCUGAAUGUAACACGUGUACAAUAAAUCAUCUCUUCUGCUGUCUUAGCUGAAGGAAAAAAAUGA